ACGUAGGUGGCAAGCGUUAUCCGGAUUUACUGGGCGUAAAGGGUCUGUAGGUGGUUGGGAGGGUCUGGUGUGAAAGCGCUCGGCUUAACUGAGCGAGGCCACUGGAAACCGCCCGACUGGAGUCGCGCAGAGGGCACUGGAAUUCCCGGUGUAGUGGUGGAAUGCGUAGAGAUCCGGAGGAACCCCAGUGGCGAAGGCGACCUGCUCGGCCUUGCCUGACGCUCAGACGCGAAAGCAUGGGGAGCGAACGG
This 251-nucleotide ribosomal RNA is filed under the name uncultured prokaryote. RNAcentral's name for it is "partial 16S ribosomal RNA". It matches the Rfam family "Bacterial small subunit ribosomal RNA", at positions 525 to 775 of the family's 1533-position model. The record is from RNAcentral.